This 310-nucleotide ribosomal RNA is filed under the name Escherichia coli O111:NM str. K6890. RNAcentral's name for it is "partial 23S ribosomal RNA". It matches the Rfam family "Bacterial large subunit ribosomal RNA", at positions 2638 to 2925 of the family's 2925-position model. The record is from RNAcentral. Lineage: Bacteria; Pseudomonadati; Pseudomonadota; Gammaproteobacteria; Enterobacterales; Enterobacteriaceae.
CUAUCUGCCGUGGGCGCUGGAGAACUGAGGAGGGCUGCUCCUAGUACGAGAGGACCGGAGUGGACGCAUCACUGGUGUUCGGGUUGUCAUGCCAAUGGCACUGCCCGGUAGCUAAAUGCGGAAGAGAUAAGUGCUGAAAGCAUCUAAGCACGAAACUUGCCCCGAGAUGAGUUCUCCCUGACUCCUUGAGAGUCCUGAAGGAACGUUGAAGACGACGACGUUGAUAGGCCGGAUGUGUAAGCGCAGCGAUGCGUUGAGCUAACCGGUACUAAUGAACCGUGAGGCUUAACCUUACAACGCCGAAGCUGUU